Lathyrus oleraceus (garden pea) is the source of this 3291-nucleotide long non-coding RNA. RefSeq lists it as uncharacterized. The transcript has 4 exons. NCBI's taxonomy places the organism in Eukaryota, Viridiplantae, Streptophyta, Magnoliopsida, Fabales, Fabaceae. The record is from RefSeq and is a predicted model, not a curated record.
GCAAAAAGAUAAAAAGCAUCAACCCUAAACACUUGCAAUUUUUCAUAUCUAUCCUAAACACUUUCAACUUUUCGUAUCUAUCAGAAUCGUCACUAUCAUAAAUUGGGAGAUGAAUCAAUCGAGAAAAACUAAAGUAAACUUUAUUCUAUCAUCAACAUUGAAUUCGUUAAUCAUGGUGUUGUUCUUCAUUCCAUUCAGUGUGUUGUGAUUUCUCCAUUUCUUAAUCCAUGAUUUUAUACAAGAAACAAUCUUACAUUUUUCUCUGUAUCCUUUACUCUUUCCCUAAAUUAUUUGAUCCUUUCUAAUUUUCAACUCAAAAGGUACAUGAUUUGUUUUAUACUUUUAAUAAUCAUUUAUUUUUCAACCAUCGUGUUUUGUUUAGGUUUUUCUGGAUUCUAUUUCUCUUCUUGACUCUGAUUUGAAACAAUCUCCUCUUCAAAGUUACCAAAAAUACUAUUUCUAUUUAGGUUUUUGCAUUCUCUUCCUCACUCUGAAAAUCCAACAAUUUCCUUUGCAUCAAAUCUACAUGAAAAUUGCUCAUAGUCGUCGUCACCAUUGUGGUUGUCGUCGGAACUCUUGAAAUCUUCUCUCUUUGUAAAGGUAUUUUUCUUUCUUUGUGUGCUAAGUCCAAAGGAAAGGAGUAUCUUGAAUCAUCUCUAUGAUUUCAAGAAAAGAAACUCAAAGGAUUUUAUCUUCUCUCUUAUCUUUGUAUGCCUUAGGACUAGUCAUUCUCUUCUUCUCCUCACUCUAACCCAAGCCAAAAAAAUCUUUUCUAAACUUUGACUUUUUUUCAAAUUAGAAACCUAGGCCUUAUGCCUUUGACUUUUCAAAAUCUUUUCAUCAAUACUCAUUGUGAAUGAAUCUUAAUUCUACUUUGACUUCAUUUUGUAAAUAAAUUUAACUUGUAAAUAUAACUCACUUCAAGUUGUUUUUGUGGUUCCAAUGACCACUUUUGUUAAAAUCUUUUCAUAAACAUUAGUCAUAGGUUUGAGUUAUCAUAGUGGUUGAUGUGAAUCUCACCUUAUCCUUAGUGAUUGGAUUAUAAGUCUUCCAUGCUUAUUAUAGGGUUAACCUCUCACUAGUAUGUUGAAGCUCUCCUCACAUGGUGGAUUGUUGGUUUAGGUUGAGUUUUCUCUCUUUGAUAACAAAAGACCUUAAGGUUUUUUGUCAAAUUAAUUCACCGAUCUUUGUGAUUUUUACCCGAACUACGAGGUUUUGAUCCUACCUUUGUGAUGGUACGUAGGCAAUGGGUUCAUCCAUUCAAACAACAAAAUUUGUAAAUAUAAUUUAUUCUCUUCUCAUCCCCCAAUCUUUUGCACAUAUUUUCAUAAAUACCAACCUACAACACAUAUUUGCAAAAAGGAUUCCCUUAUAGUAUUAAGGAUGUUUUGGAUGCGUAAAACCUUCCCGUUUCAUAACCAACCUCUUACCUAGAUCUCUGACAUUUUUUAUUAGUUUUUGAUUUGAUAAAACUUUUUACUUGGUUUUUGUUCGCUUUUUAUCCUUUCCUUUGGAUAAAUAAAAGUGAGGUGGCGACUCGAAUUGUAUGUUUAUUUUUGAUUUAGUCAAUAAACCAUAAGGUAACGAAAACACCGCUACAGCUACUGUUCAGCUGGUGUUGCAGGAUGGGCAACAUGUAUGGUUUGCACUGAGUUGGGUGUGGUUGGUCAUGGUCUGCAUAAUUUGUUGACUUGGUACGAAAUAUACGACUUUCCUUCUCAUUUGGUUUAGAUUAUGUUUGGAAUUUGUUUAGGUUGUAAAUUUUGUGCUAGUUAAUUUGAGAUGCUAAGUAUUAAUGAUUAUUGGCGGAUGCAAUGACAUCUUUUUUCUUGUGUAUAGCAGACUUCAUCACCUCAUAUUGUUCGGUCAUGGAAUCGUACAAGGAUUGUAUAAGUAUCCUUAGCCUUUUCAAGAUUUCUUGUUCAUAUCUACAGGUUCUGACUUAUGUGUUGGAUGUGAAUGAGCUGCAACUUUAUGUCAAGUCAUGACUGAGAACUUUCUGCUUCCAUGGUGAUGCGGUUAGCAGGGUCAUUGGAAUUAUUAGAAGGAUUCGGAGGUAAUGUCGUUCUGUUAUGGAGGUUGACUUUAUCAUGGUUUCUUGGAGGGGUCUGUUAUUGAGUUCAAAGUGGUCGAGAGAAGGUGUGAGAAUGCUGCAGAAGCGGGGUUCGUCCUGGAUGAUUGGUACGACAGUCGAUUUCAACGGAUUUUUCUCGGUUCAGUUUUAUAUGUUAUGGAGUGCAAGAGCAUCUCCAGGAACCACUUCUGACUGAAGAAGUUUCGGUUGCAAACUCUCAUUCUCCUUAUGCUCUGUUGUAUAUUUCAUCAUACAUUGGUUUCAUUAUCUCAAUCAGCAAUGCCUUUUUUGUCACUAUGUAUGCAGGCUUUACAGGUUCACCCGUCAAUGGACUAACACUUUCGGCUAUCAUCCCACAUAACAAACGCAUUCUGGCAUAAAACAGCAGCAGUUUUAUAUGCUUUUGUGAGCUGGGUAUGGUCCUCGUCAACAACAUGUUUUGGAAGCAGCAUUAACUGAAGAGAAUCAGCUUUUGGCAGAAUUGGCAGGUGCAUUGGGCAACUCUGUCAUGCCAUUGGGAAUGUGAGCUGCGAACGGUUAAAUGAAUUAAUCGAGUUUGAAAUGUCAUGUCAUAUCCGUUUUUUAGGAAGGUUUAUGAGAGAGUUUUGGUUCUCCUCUUGUCAUUAAUCUCGUUUUGCGAGUCCAUGUAAUCAUAUAGACGACCUUAAUUCUCAACCAACUUGCAGAACUGGUAAAUGCUGUCAAGAUACUCAACGGAAGCCAGUUCGUUGUUAGCAUCAACGACAUCAAUGUCAACAGUCUCCUGGUCGAACCACAUGCGGCCUAGCUUCCAGAAGGGCCCGUUAUAGGUUCCAUGACAUUGUUGGGGGUUGAAUGUCGACUCCUUUGGAAGAGUGUAAAAGGGGUCCGUCAUCUUCAAUACGGAAUCACAAUUCCGCUUAGACAAUUUUCGUGCUUGAUUACUGGGUCAAGUUUACUUGGGUUUCUUCUGUCUUAACUAUAUAUAGGUGAAUCCUUCUAGAGGAGGCAUGUUGCACUCUUUACCAUCAUACUUCAUCCGUAUAUUUGUGUUAUACUGAAUACUCAGUUGUUUCUACAGUUAAGAGAUGAAGAAAGUAGCUUGAAUAUAGUAUAUGAUAUGCUUUGUACAGUUUAUGGAAUUAAAUAAUGAUGAAUGUAUGGGGACUUUGAAUGAUUGGAAAGUUGUUUGUAAUUUGGAAAUUGAGGAAUGUAUUUGAAAACUGAAUUGAAUUAAA